Oryzias melastigma (Indian medaka) is the source of this 396-nucleotide long non-coding RNA. RefSeq lists it as uncharacterized. Lineage: Eukaryota; Metazoa; Chordata; Actinopteri; Beloniformes; Adrianichthyidae. The record is from RefSeq and is a predicted model, not a curated record. The transcript is spliced from 3 exons.
AGAUAAUGCAAGAAAGGCAGAAAAUAUUUGUUUUGAACAUGCAAAUAUUAAAGGAGAUAAAUUUGGAAAUUGUGGACCUGCACCCGGUGGAUCAGGAUACUUAAAAUGUAGCUUGGCAAACUCUAUGUGUGGGAAGGUGCAGUGCACCAAUGUGGAUGUAAAUACGCCCCCUACUGGUGCCCAUGUCAGCAUCCAACAAAUUCAAGGAGCCACUUGUGUUAACGCAGACUUUGACCUGGGCAGUGAUGUACUCGAUCCUGCCUACGUUAACCCCGGCAGCCCUUGUGCUACAGGAAAGACCUGUGUGGACUUCAAGUGCAUGAAUGCUUCGGUUCUGUUGCCAAAUUUAGACUGUGAUGCCAAGACUACUUGCAAUGGUCACGGGGUUAGUAAGGA